GAGGGUCUAGCUAAGUGAUAGAGCACGCACUUAGCAUGCAGGAGGUCCUGGGUUCAAUUCCCAGUACCUCCA
RNAcentral lists this transfer RNA (72 nucleotides) under Camelus bactrianus (Bactrian camel). It matches the Rfam family "tRNA". Rfam says of the family: Transfer RNA (tRNA) molecules are approximately 80 nucleotides in length. Their secondary structure includes four short double-helical elements and three loops (D, anti-codon, and T loops). RNAcentral also lists the same sequence under 2 other names. The record is from Rfam by way of RNAcentral. Lineage: Eukaryota; Metazoa; Chordata; Mammalia; Artiodactyla; Camelidae.